GACGAACGCUGGCGGCGUGCUUAACACAUGCAAGUCGAACGGAAAGGCCCUGCUUUUGUGGGGUACUCGAGUGGCGAACGGGUGAGUAACACGUGAGUAACCUGCCCUUGACUUUGGGAUAACUUCGGGAAACUGGGGCUAAUACCGGAUAGGAGCUCCUGCUGCAUGGUGGGGGUUGGAGAGUUUCGGCGGUUGGGGAUGGACUCGCGGCUUCUCAGCUUGUUGGUGGGGUAGUGGCUUACCAAGGCGUUGACGGGUAGCCGGCCUGAGAGGGUGCACGGCCACAUUGGGACUGAGAUACGGCCCAGACUCCUACGGGAGGCAGCAGUGGGGAAUAUUGCACAAUGGGCGGAAGCCUGAUGCAGCAACGCCGCGUGCGGGAUGACGGCCUUCGGGUUGUAAACCGCUUUCGCCUGGGACGAAGCGUGAGUGACGGUAAUGGGUAAAGAAGCACCGGCUAACUACGUG
RNAcentral lists this ribosomal RNA (468 nucleotides) under uncultured bacterium. RNAcentral describes it as "partial 16S ribosomal RNA". It matches the Rfam family "Bacterial small subunit ribosomal RNA", at positions 28 to 507 of the family's 1533-position model. The record is from RNAcentral.